RNAcentral lists this ribosomal RNA (434 nucleotides) under uncultured Lachnospiraceae bacterium. RNAcentral's name for it is "partial 16S ribosomal RNA". It matches the Rfam family "Bacterial small subunit ribosomal RNA", at positions 341 to 792 of the family's 1533-position model. Lineage: Bacteria; Bacillati; Bacillota; Clostridia; Lachnospirales; Lachnospiraceae. The record is from RNAcentral.
ACGGAAGGCAGCAGUGGGGAAUAUUGGACAAUGGGGGAAACCCUGAUCCAGCGACGCCGCGUGAGUGAAGAAGUAUUUCGGUAUGUAAAGCUCUAUCAGCAAGGAAGAAAAUGACGGUACUUGACUAAGACGCUCCGGCUAAAUACGUGCCAGCAGCCGCGGUAAUACGUAUGGAGCAAGCGUUAUCCGGAUUUACUGGGUGUAAAGGGAGCGUAGACGGCGAAACAAGUCUGAAGUGAAAUCCCGGGGCUCAACCCCGGAACUGCUUUGGAAACUGUUUUGCUAGAGUGCAGGAGAGGUAAGCGGAAUUCCUAGUGUAGCGGUGAAAUGCGUAGAUAUUAGGAGGAACACCAGUGGCGAAGGCGGCUUACUGGACUGUAACUGACGUUGAGGCUCGAAAGCGUGGGGAGCAAACAGGAUUAGAUACCCUGGUA